RNAcentral lists this non-coding RNA (22 nucleotides) under Arabidopsis thaliana (thale cress). Lineage: Eukaryota; Viridiplantae; Streptophyta; Magnoliopsida; Brassicales; Brassicaceae. The record is from RNAcentral.
UGCAACAUAUCGGAGGUAGGCA